GAAAUGCGAUAAGUAAUGUGAAUUGCAGAAUUCAGUGAAUCAUCGAAUCUUUGAACGCAACUUGCGCUCUCUGGUAUUCCGGAGAGCAUGCCUGUUUGAGUGUCAUGAAAUCUCAACCAUUAGGGUUUCUUAAUGGAUUGGAUUUGGGUGUUGCCAGCUUGUCUGGCUCGCCUUAAAAGAGUUAGCGAGUAUAGCAAUGUCGUCUGGCGUAAUAAGUUUCGCUGGGUUAGGCUUGUGAAGCGCGCUUCUAAUCGCCCUUGGGCAAUUAUUUUGACUCUGGCCUCAAAUCAGGUAGGACUACCCGCUGAACUUAA
RNAcentral lists this unclassified non-coding RNA (314 nucleotides) under uncultured Trichosporon. RNAcentral describes it as "sequence contains ITS1". The stretch from base 1 to 105 matches the Rfam family "5.8S ribosomal RNA", at positions 50 to 154 of the family's 154-position model. Lineage: Eukaryota; Fungi; Basidiomycota; Tremellomycetes. The record is from RNAcentral.